GUGAAUUCCAUGCAGAAGAAACAGCAGCUUCCCUUGACAACUUCCUCUCAGACUGCCCCAGCUGAUAUCCUGCCCAAAAACACACAUGCUUGCAAAUCCAGCCACUAACCAUUGACCUGUCUUGGACUCAAGUGUGAAGAGUCAGCCAAGAAUGCAGACCUGGAAGCCUAGGGUGUAUGUGUGUGUAUUUGUAGUCAAGUGAAAAUCCCACCCAAGCUCCAGACAGACCCUGGUGGCCCAUUCUGCAGAUGUUGGUGAGGUUGGUAUUUCUGUGGAGGUGUCAGCAAAGGUUGAAUGUGCCAGGCAUGAGGCAAAGGCCAAGGUUUAGGGGGACUUCUACACACACAACUUCCCCCUUGCCUCGUCCAGCCAGAAAGCAGAGAGCAGUGGCAUCUGCCCAGCACAGAGGCAGAUGGAUGGAUCCACUCACCCGAGGAUAGAGCAGGGAAGACGGGACAGGAGAAAUCCAAGAGGGCUUCUCAGGGGAGGAGGCAUGUAGUUUGGCUUAGAUACAGAGGCUAGACAGGGGCCUGAGCAGAUGAGUAGGGGACUGGGCAUUUGAAGCCAAGGGUCUUGCACCUCCCUACCCCUUUCUUUGCACCCUCAUACUCGAGCAUUUAUUAGCAACUUGUGCUAACCACUGAGCUAAGCUGACCUCCAAGUAAUUAGAAAGCUUAAGUAAACCAACAUCUGUAGAUGAGAAAGGUGACUGAGGACCUACUGUUACAAAGGCAAGGUAAUUUGAGGCUGCAAUGAGCUACGAGCAACUGUGUUCCAGCCUGGGAGACAGAAUGUAAAAAAAUAGUAAUAACAGAAAGUAUACAUCAAUCUCAAUUUUUUUUAAAAAGGCAGAUGGUUUUACAGUUGUUUUAUCAAAACUCAAAGAACAGGAAAGCCCAAAUUAUUUCAACAAAGUCAGACCUUUUAAACAGAUGAUAGCUGCCCAAGUCAUUUUUAUGAAACUUCUUUAUAUCAAAACCUAAGUCUAAAAAGAGAAAAGUGUUGACCUUGAUACGGGCUGUGUUAGGCAGAGAUUUCAAUGAAGUCCUCUCUGAAGAGGUGACAUUUGAUCUGAGACCUGAAGCACCAGAAAGAGGCAGCCAAGCCAGGAAGAGGCAGGAAUGGGAAGGUCUAGGGAAAGACUGGUCCUGGCAGGCGGAACUGCAGUGGCAAAGGCCCAGCGGUGAUCAGGAGCUUGGCAUUUGCAAAAAUAAAGAGUGUGUGUGACUGGACAGCGUGAGCAAGUGGGCAGAGGAGGAGAUCGUGAUAGGGUGUGCAUUGGUCAGGCCACCUAGGUCCUGGAGCCCACAGUGAGAAGCAUGGGCUUGACUCUGAGGGCAAAGGAGAGCCACGGAUAGUUUGGGUAAAGGGGAAAGUUGGCAUUUAAUUUUAUAGCUUUUUGAAGUUUGUUUUGUUUUCUUAGAAACAAGGUCUCAGUCUGUUACCCAAACUGGAGUGCAGCUCAAAAUAUUUUCCAAUUUAUCUUGUGAUUUUUUUUGAUCCAAUGAUUUAGAGGUGGGUUGUUAAAUUUUCACAUAUUUUCAGAUGUCCAAUAUUUCUUACUGUUGUUAGUUUCUAAUUCUGUUUCAGUCAGAUAACUUAUUUGUUUUCCCUGUCUCUCCUGUCUUCUGAUCCUGUUUUUCCAUUGACUACCAUUUUUAAAAUCAACUUAUUUCAGUGUGUCAUUUACAAUCCUAUUUUAAUUUUUUGCUCUUUCUCUGAAGUGGUUGUUCCAGGGAUUAUAAUGUGCUUUUCCAUUUUUCCAACGAAUGAAGAACGAAGUGAUCGACUUCUUGCCUCUGCCGGGGCUCUGAAGCGCUGCCCCGAGGCGGUGGAUGGAGGGUGUCAGGCGUGACAUCAAGAGCUCUGCAGCCAGGGCCUGGGACAACCUCCCGCUCCACCUCCCCGGAGCCUCGCAGCCAGCAUCCCCAGCGGCCCGUGCGCCCCGGCCAAGCGGGACCUCAGCGCUGUGGCGGCCGCAGACCUCACCUGGGCAGGCCCCGGGCUGCAUGCGGACCGCCGGGCGCCCAGGACUCUAGAGGCAACCAGCGGGCUGGAUCCGCACAGCGGCCCUGGGAAAUGGAUGGUGUACAGGGGACAAAGCUACACACGUCUUUCAUUUUGGAGGGGGGAAAAAAGAAAAAACGGAAAUGAAAGAUAGAAAAUGUGUGGGCUCUCCGUCCUUUCCUUUGCUCCUGAGCGCUCUCUGGGGUGGGGGGCUCAGCGAGCUUCAAGAGGUGGCCGAGAUUCCCCCACCUCGCCCCCAGAUCCCCGGGAGAGGUCAGCACGGCCCCUCCCUUGGGUGUCACAGAGACCGAUGCGGGUCCCGCUCCCCGGGAAGGAGUGGGUCUGGGUCCAGUCCGCAGGAUCCCCUCGCGGAUGCUGACGCUGAAUGGAGUUGAGGUGGGGGCAGCGCUGGACCCCAGGGUCCCUGCCUGCCUCCUGGGGAGCCCGGUG
RNAcentral lists this long non-coding RNA (2457 nucleotides) under Homo sapiens (human). Its description in RNAcentral is "HSALNT0270875". The record is from RNAcentral. Lineage: Eukaryota; Metazoa; Chordata; Mammalia; Primates; Hominidae.